UGGGGAAUUUUGGACAAUGGGCGCAAGCCUGAUCCAGCCAUGCCGCGUGCGGGAAGAAGGCCUUCGGGUUGUAAACCGCUUUUGUCAGGGAAGAAAUCUUCUGAGUUAAUACCUCGGGAGGAUGACGGUACCUGAAGAAUAAGCACCGGCUAACUACGUGCCAGCAGCCGCGGUAAUACGUAGGGUGCAAGCGUUAAUCGGAAUUACUGGGCGUAAAGCGUGCGCAGGCGGUUUUGUAAGACAGAGGUGAAAUCCCCGGGCUCAACCUGGGAACUGCCUUUGUGACUGCAAGGCUUGAGUGCGGCAGAGGGGGAUGGAAUUCCGCGUGUAGCAGUGAAAUGCGUAGAUAUGCGGAGGAACACCGAUGGCGAAGGCAAUCCCCUGGGCCUGCACUGACGCUCAUGCACGAAAGCGUGGGGAGCAAACAGGAUUAGAUACCCUGGUAGUCCACGCCCUAAACGAUGUCAACUGGUUGUUGGGAAGGUUCCUUCUCAGUAACGUAGCUAACGCGUGAAGUUGAGCCGCCUGGGGAGUCGGCCGCAAGGUUGAAACUCAAAGGAAUUGACGGGGUCAUAGCUGUUU
RNAcentral lists this ribosomal RNA (582 nucleotides) under uncultured bacterium. RNAcentral describes it as "partial 16S ribosomal RNA". It matches the Rfam family "Bacterial small subunit ribosomal RNA", at positions 355 to 935 of the family's 1533-position model. The record is from RNAcentral.